AGCGAACGCUGGCGGCAGGCCUAACACAUGCAAGUCGAACGAACCUUUCGGGGUUAGUGGCGGACGGGUGAGUAACACGUGGGAACGUGCCUUUAGGUUCGGAAUAACUCAGGGAAACUUGUGCUAAUACCGAAUGUGCCCUUCGGGGGAAAGAUUAAUCGCCUUUAGAGCGGCCCGCGUCUGAUUAGCUAGUUGGUUGAGGUAAUGGCUCACCAAGGCGACGAUCAGUAGCUGGUCUGAGAGGAUGAUCAGCCACAUUGGGACUGAGACACGGCCCAAACUCCUACGGGAGGCAGCAGUGGGGAAUCUUGCGCAAUGGGCGAAAGCCUGACGCAGACAUGCCGCGUGAAUGAUGAAGGUCUUAGGAUUGUAAAAUUCUUUCACCGGGGACGAUAAUGACGGUACCCGGAGAAGAAGCCCCGGCUAACUUCGUG
Molecule: ribosomal RNA, 434 nt
Filed under: uncultured bacterium
Lineage: Bacteria
Description: partial 16S ribosomal RNA
Rfam family: Bacterial small subunit ribosomal RNA
Source: RNAcentral